AGUGAACGCUGGCGGUAGGCCUAACACAUGCAAGUCGAACGGCAGCACAGUAAGAGCUUGCUCUUACGGGUGGCGAGUGGCGGAUGGGUGAGGAAUACAUCGGAAUCUACUUUUUCGUGGGGGCUAACGUAGGGAAACUUACGCUAAUACCGCAUACGACCUACGGGUGAAAGCAGGGGAUCUUCGGACCUUGCGCGAUUGAAUGAGCCGAUGUCGGAUUAGCUAGUUGGCGGGGUAAAGGCCCACCAAGGCGACGAUCCGUAGCUGGUCUGAGAGGAUGAUCAGCCACACUGGAACUGAGACACGGUCCAGACUCCUACGGGAGGCAGCAGUGGGGAAUAUUGGACAAUGGGCGCAAGCCUGAUCCAGCCAUGCCGCGUGGGUGAAGAAGGCCUUCGGGUUGUAAGGCCCUUUUGUUGGGAAAGAAAAGCAGCAGGUUAAUACCCCGCUGUUCUGACGGUACCCAAAGAAUAAGCACCGGCUAACUUCGUG
RNAcentral lists this ribosomal RNA (492 nucleotides) under uncultured bacterium. RNAcentral describes it as "partial 16S ribosomal RNA". It matches the Rfam family "Bacterial small subunit ribosomal RNA", at positions 29 to 507 of the family's 1533-position model. The record is from RNAcentral.